UGAGGAAUAUUGGUCAAUGGACGAGAGUCUGAACCAGCCAAGUAGCGUGCAGGAUGACGGCCCUAUGGGUUGUAAACUGCUUUUGUUUGGGAAUAAUCGACAUUACGUGUAAUGUUUUGCAUGUACCAUUCGAAUAAGGACCGGCUAAUUCCGUGCCAGCAGCCGCGGUAAUACGGAAGGUCCAGGCGUUAUCCGGAUUUAUUGGGUUUAAAGGGAGUGUAGGCGGUUGGUUAAGCGUGUUGUGAAAUGUAGAUGCUCAACAUCUGACUGGCAGCGCGAACUGGCUGACUUGAGUACACACAACGUAGGCGGAAUUCAUGGUGUAGCGAUGAAAUGCUUAGAUAUCAUGAAGAACUCAGAUUGAGAAGGCAGCUUACGGGAGUGUUACUGACGCUUAAGCUCGAAGGUGCGGGUAUCGAACAGG
Molecule: ribosomal RNA, 424 nt
Filed under: Verrucomicrobiota bacterium
Lineage: Bacteria; Pseudomonadati; Verrucomicrobiota
Description: Verrucomicrobia bacterium partial 16S ribosomal RNA
Rfam family: Bacterial small subunit ribosomal RNA
Source: RNAcentral